UCCCAUAUUGUCUAGUGGUUAGGAUACCUGGCUCUCACCCAGGAGGCUCGGGUUCAAUUCCCGGUAUGGGAA
RNAcentral lists this transfer RNA (72 nucleotides) under Daphnia pulicaria. Its description in RNAcentral is "tRNA-Glu". It matches the Rfam family "tRNA". From Rfam's summary of the family: Transfer RNA (tRNA) molecules are approximately 80 nucleotides in length. Their secondary structure includes four short double-helical elements and three loops (D, anti-codon, and T loops). Lineage: Eukaryota; Metazoa; Arthropoda; Branchiopoda; Diplostraca; Daphniidae. RNAcentral also lists the same sequence under 1 other name. The record is from RNAcentral.